GUAAGGUCGAUUUCUUAGAGUCCAGGAGACAGGGAUGAGGUGGAGAGGUCUGUGGGCAGAUAAGGGAGAGGGAGGUGGGGGCUGUUGGAAAAUUUCCAAGGCCUUGGGAAAGGUGGGGGUUUUACCAGCGGGGACUGAAGGACUGAAGAGGAAUAGAUUUACUUAUGUCAGUGUUACUCAUGUAUCAGGUUUAGGCAUGUAUCAGUUAAAUAUCAUAAAAUCAUAUAUCAUGUUUUAGUAUCAUCAUAUAACAAUCAUUUUCUUUGCUUCUUUGUUUUAGUAUCAUCUCUUUCUUUAAUAUCUAUCAUUCAUUAUAACAUUUAUCAUGUUGUUUAGACAUAAUCGGUUAUGGAAGAAAGCACUUAGAAAGAUUACAGCACUUGUGGGUGAAAUGAUGUUGUCAUACGCUUAUGACAUGUUGUAUUGUUGUAUUGUUUAUCUUACACUUAUGAUAUGUUGUAUUGUUGUAUUGUUUAUCAUUAUAUGGUGUAUUUUACUUAUUAGUAUAAUUUGUGGAACAAGUAACAACAAUCUGAAGGCGUACGUGCCGGAGAGAACGCCUACGUGCCGGAGAGAAUCUCUGCCAUGGCGAGGUGGAAAAAUACCGGGUCAGAGUGACCCGAUGGCCAGCUGCAUGAUUAAGAAAGAGGGCGGGGCUGACAGUGAAAGUUUUAGAUAAAAGGCGCUGUAUGAGACGGAGAGAUACAGACAUCGUCCCGACGGGGGCUCCAUGCGGGGCGGCCCUGGGCCCUUUGCGAUCUCCGGACUUUCGGACUUAGAGAAAUUAGAGCAUCCGAUCUCCGUACUUUCGGACUUAGAAAAAUUAGGACAUCCUCUCUCCAACACGCUACAGAUAUGCGUGUCUUAGCCCACCGGGGCAAAGAAGACUACUGGCUGUGGGACCAUUUGAUGAGAAUAUCCUGGCUGUGGGACCAUUUGAUGAGACCGACCCUCCGUGACCGAGGAGAGAUAGAGCUCCUCUCUCUCUCUCCCUACUGUCGACACCGGAGAAGCGUAGUGUAGAGAGGUAAGAAUCAGGAAUCGAAAUUAUUAUAGACUAAAUUAGCUUUAUAAACAAACCCAAUUUAUUAGGCACUAUAUUAUAGGAGAGAUAGGGAUUCCCUCUCUUUUCCUCUGUCAACACCGGCGUGGAACACCAGCGCUGCUCACUUCUCGAGGACACGGAGCGGCCCGUAUCAGAUAGGGGCCAUCGGAGCAACAUUCCAGCGCAGCUCACCCUCCCCAAUCUGAAUCAGUGUGGGGGCCAACGACAAGGGAACAACGGCCUUUCUCCUAACACAGCUGAGGGGAGUGUUGAACAUAGUGCAGAGAGGUGAGAAAACCGGAAUCUAAAUUAUCGUAGACAAACCCACCAAGAUGUGUUCCAGAGGUAUUUUAUGUCACUUAUUUAGAAGUGUCACUGACGGCAUUUUAUUAGUCACUAUAUUAUAUGUAUUAACAUGUUUUUUUUUGAAGGCCUUCACCGCUUGCUGCAAUGUCCCAGAUAUUAAUCCUGCAAAUAAAACUAUAUUCAAACCA
This is a long non-coding RNA of Gadus macrocephalus (Pacific cod), 1539 nucleotides long. RefSeq lists it as uncharacterized. NCBI's taxonomy places the organism in Eukaryota, Metazoa, Chordata, Actinopteri, Gadiformes, Gadidae. The record is from RefSeq and is a predicted model, not a curated record. The transcript has 3 exons.